AACGAACGCUGGCGGCAGGCCUAACACAUGCAAGUCGAAUGCUCCGCAAGGGGGAGUGGCGCACGGGUGAGUAACACGUGGGAACCUACCUUCUGGUACGGAACAACCAAGGGAAACUUUGGCUAAGACCGUAUACGACCUCCGGGUGAAAGAUUGAUCGCCGGAAGAGGGGCCCGCGUCCGAUUAGGUAGUUGGUGAGGUAACGGCUCACCAAGCCUUCGAUCGGUAGCUGGUCUGAGAGGAUGACCAGCCACACUGGGACUGAGACACGGCCCAGACUCCUACGGGAGGCAGCAGUGGGGAAUAUUGGACAAUGGGCGCAAGCCUGAUCCAGCCAUGCCGCGUGAGUGAUGAAGGCCUU
This 361-nucleotide ribosomal RNA is filed under the name uncultured bacterium. RNAcentral describes it as "bacterial SSU rRNA". It matches the Rfam family "Bacterial small subunit ribosomal RNA", at positions 29 to 418 of the family's 1533-position model. The record is from RNAcentral.